UUACGGUCAUAUCACGUCGAAACAUUGGUUACCAUACGAUCACCGAAGUUAAGGAACGCCGAGUCUGGUUAGUACCCAGAUCGGUGAUCUCUUGGUAAUAACAGGUGCUGUAA
Acanthosepion pharaonis is the source of this 113-nucleotide non-coding RNA. Lineage: Eukaryota; Metazoa; Mollusca; Cephalopoda; Sepiida; Sepiidae. The record is from the annotation of a GenBank genome assembly.